AGAUUGAACGCUGGCGGCAGGCCUAACACAUGCAAGUCGAGCGGCAGCACGGGUACUUGUACCUGGUGGCGAGCGGCGGACGGGUGAGUAAUGCCUAGGAAUCUGCCUGGUAGUGGGGGAUAACGCUCGGAAACGGACGCUAAUACCGCAUACGUCCUACGGGAGAAAGCAGGGGACCUUCGGGCCUUGCGCUAUCAGAUGAGCCUAGGUCGGAUUAGCUAGUUGGUGGGGUAAUGGCUCACCAAGGCGACGAUCCGUAACUGGUCUGAGAGGAUGAUCAGUCACACUGGAACUGAGACACGGUCCAGACUCCUACGGGAGCAGCAGGUGGGAA
RNAcentral lists this ribosomal RNA (334 nucleotides) under uncultured soil bacterium. RNAcentral's name for it is "bacterial SSU rRNA". It matches the Rfam family "Bacterial small subunit ribosomal RNA", at positions 26 to 361 of the family's 1533-position model. The record is from RNAcentral.